UACAGAGGGUGCGAGCGUUAAUCGGAAUUACUGGGCGUAAAGCGCACGUAGGCGGCUUGGUAUGUCGGGUGUGAAAUCCCCGGGCUCAACCUGGGAACUGCAUCCGAAACUGCCUUGCUCGAGUAUGGGAGAGGGAAGUGGAAUUCCACGUGUAGCGGUGAAAUGCGUAGAGAUGUGGAGGAACACCGAUGGCGAAGGCAGCCUCCUGGGCCAACACUGACGCUCAUGCACGAAAGCGUGGGGAGCAAACAGG
RNAcentral lists this ribosomal RNA (253 nucleotides) under uncultured bacterium. RNAcentral's name for it is "partial 16S ribosomal RNA". It matches the Rfam family "Bacterial small subunit ribosomal RNA", at positions 524 to 776 of the family's 1533-position model. The record is from RNAcentral.